GAGUGGCGAACUGGUGAGUAACACGUGGGAAACCUGCCCAGAAGCGGGGGAUAACACCUGGAAACAGAUGCUAAUACCGCAUAACAACUUGGACCGCAUGGUCCGAGUUUGAAAGAUGGCUUCGGCUAUCACUUUUGGAUGGUCCCGCGGCGUAUUAGCUAGAUGGUGGGGUAACGGCUCACCAUGGCAAUGAUACGUAGCCGACCUGAGAGGGUAAUCGGCCACAUUGGGACUGAGACACGGCCCAAACUCCUACGGGAGGCAGCAGUAGGGAAUCUUCCACAAUGGACGAAAGUCUGAUGGAGCAACGCCGCGUGAGUGAAGAAGGGUUUCGGCUCGUAAAACUCUGUUGUUAAAGAAGAACAUAUCUGAGAGUAACUGUUCAGGUAUUGACGGUAUUUAACCAGAAAGCCACGGCUAACUACGUGCCAGCAGCCGCGGUAAUACGUAGGUGGCAAGCGUUGUCCGGAUUUAUUGGGCGUAAAGCGAGCGCAGGCGGUUUUUUAAGUCUGAUGUGAAAGCCUUCGGCUCAACCGAAGAAGUGCAUCGGAAACUGGGAAACUUGAGUGCAGAAGAGGACAGUGGAACUCCAUGUGUAGCGGUGAAAUGCGUAGAUAUAUGGAAGAACACCAGUGGCGAAGGCGGCUGUCUGGUCUGUAACUGACGCUGAGGCUCGAAAGUAUGGGUAGCAAACAGGAUUAGAUACCCUGGUAGUCCAUACCGUAAACGAUGAAUGCUAAGUGUUGGGAGGGUUUCCGCCCUUCAGUGGCUGCAGCUAACGCAUUAAGCAUUCCGCCUGGGGAGUACGGCCGCAAGGCUGAAACUCAAAGGAAUUGACGGGGGCCCGCACAAGCGGUGGAGCAUGUGGUUUAAUUCGAAGCUACGCGAAGAACCUUACCAGGUCUUGACAUACUAUGCAAAUCUAAGAGAUUAGACGUUCCCUUCGGGGACAUGGAUACAGGUGGUGCAUGGUUGUCGUCAGCUCGUGUCGUGAGAUGUUGGGUUAAGUCCCGCAACGAGCGCAACCCUUAUUAUCAGUUGCCAGCAUUAAGUUGGGCACUCUGGUGAGACUGCCGGUGACAAACCGGAGGAAGGUGGGGAUGACGUCAAAUCAUCAUGCCCCUUAUGACCUGGGCUACACACGUGCUACAAUGGAUGGUACAACGAGUUGCGAACUCGCGAGAGUAAGCUAAUCUCUUAAAGCCAUUCUCAGUUCGGAUUGUAGGCUGCAACUCGCCUACAUGAAGUCGGAAUCGCUAGUAAUCGCGGAUCAGCAUGCCGCGGUGAAUACGUUCCCGGGCCUUGUACACACCGCCCGUCACACCAUGAGAGUUUGUAACACCCAAAGUCGGUGGGGUAACCUUUUAGGAACCAGCCGCCUAAGGUGGGACAGAUGAUU
This 1399-nucleotide ribosomal RNA is filed under the name Lactiplantibacillus plantarum. RNAcentral describes it as "Lactobacillus plantarum 16S ribosomal RNA". It matches the Rfam family "Bacterial small subunit ribosomal RNA". The record is from RNAcentral. Lineage: Bacteria; Bacillati; Bacillota; Bacilli; Lactobacillales; Lactobacillaceae.